Molecule: ribosomal RNA, 775 nt
Filed under: uncultured Neocallimastigales
Lineage: Eukaryota; Fungi; Neocallimastigomycota; Neocallimastigomycetes; Neocallimastigales
Description: partial large subunit ribosomal RNA
Rfam family: Eukaryotic large subunit ribosomal RNA
Source: RNAcentral
UAUGUGAUCGUCUCUCGCAUAUCAAUAAGCGGAGGAAAAGAAACUAACAAGGAUUCCCCUAGUAACGGCGAGUGAAGCGGGAAGAGCUCAAAUUUGAAAUCUUAAAGGGUUUCCCUUUACGAAUUGUAGUUUAAAGAAGUGUUUUCUGUUGAGGUUUUGGUAAAAGUUCUUUGGAAUAGGACAUCAUAGAGGAGUGAGAAUCCCGUAUUUGACCUUUACUUUCAACUUUGUGAUACACUUUCAAAGAGUCGGAUUGUUUGGGAAUGCAGUCCAAAAUGGGUGGUAAAUUUCAUCUAAAGCUAAAUAUUGGCGAGAGACCGACAGCGAACAAGUACCGUGAGGGAAAGAUGAAAAGAACUUUGAAAAGAGAGUUAAACAGUACGUGAAAUUGUCAAAAGGGAAGCGUUUGACACCAGUGUUGUUUUUCUGAAAAUCAAUUAAAGAACUGUUUAUGCUAAGUUGUUUAGACUUUAUCAGCUAACUGUUUAGUUUUGAGCUUUUCUUUAAUGCACUUUUCAGUUAACAAGUCAACAUCAAUUUCUUUUGCUGUAAAAAAGCUUGAGGAAGGUGGCUUGAGAUUCGUCUUAAGUGUUUAUAGCCUCUUGCCUAUGCAGUCGGAGAGAUUGAGGUCUGCAGCGUAGAUCCUUCGGGGCUAAAUGCAUUUGUGCUGAGUUAUAGCAUUUUAUAGACAACUUGUUGACUAUGAUUUGUCUUGUAGCUUACUCGCUUAUGUUAUUUUACCUACGCUUAGGAUGUUGAAGAUAUGCGCGACACG